Molecule: non-coding RNA, 87 nt
Organism: Mycena filopes
Lineage: Eukaryota; Fungi; Basidiomycota; Agaricomycetes; Agaricales; Mycenaceae
Source: the annotation of a GenBank genome assembly
UCCACUAUGGUACAGUGGUUAAACGCCAGCCUCCGUGAAAAAAAAGAUCGGAGGCUGGGGCUGGAGGAUCGAAUCCUCCAGGUGGCA